RNAcentral lists this ribosomal RNA (427 nucleotides) under uncultured bacterium. RNAcentral's name for it is "bacterial SSU rRNA". It matches the Rfam family "Bacterial small subunit ribosomal RNA", at positions 355 to 774 of the family's 1533-position model. The record is from RNAcentral.
UGGGGAAUUUUGGACAAUGGGCGAAAGCCUGAUCCAGCCAUGCCGCGUGAGUGAAGAAGGCCUUCGGGUUGUAAAGCUCUUUUAGUCGGAAAGAAAGAGUUGCAAUGAAUAAUUGUGAUUUAUGACGGUACCGACAGAAAAAGCACCGGCUAACUACGUGCCAGCAGCCGCGGUAAUACGUAGGGUGCGAGCGUUAAUCGGAAUUACUGGGCGUAAAGGGUGCGCAGGCGGUCUUGCAAGUCAGAUGUGAAAGCCCCGGGCUUAAACUGGGAAUUGCAUUUGAAACUGAUUGGCUAGAGUACGGGAGAGGGAAGUGGAAUUUCCGGAGUAGCGGUGAAAUGCGUAGAUAUCGGAAGGAACACCAGUGGCGAAGGCGACUUCCUGGCCCGUUACUGACACUGAGGCGCGAAAGCGUGGGGAGCGAACA